GAACAGUGCAUUUCCGUCUGUUGGGCUUGGGCCUGCGUCUCUUUCUCUUCUAAUUCUUUUUCUUGCUCGCGAUCUCUCUCGAAACUCACCGAAUCAUCUCUAAUUCUUUUUCUGUUGUGCUCUUUUCUGAAGUUUCGAGAGCAUCAAUUCUGAUUACUUUCCAGAAAAUCAAAGAGCCCAAGCCAAAAAGGAAAAGAGAGAAGCCGAAGCAAAUGAGGAUAGAGAUCAUUUUCUGCGGUCUUUUGGUGAUUUUUUUUAAUCGGUGAGUGUUUCUCUUGAAUCUCGGUGUUGGGUUUUUGUUUGAAUUCGUUUUUCUUGAUAUCGAUUGCAGUGGUAGCGGGUUGUGAUCGGUACGUUUUCCAGUCCAGUGCCCCUCAGUUUCUCCUUUCCACCAUUUUCCAGGUACUCUUCCUCUCCCUGUAAUCUGAGUUUUGUGCAAGUUGUUUUUGCUGAUAAUACGAUUGCAUGUGUUGUUGUCUUUCACUGAUAUUAUCAAGAAAAUCAUCUAUUUUUGUUUAUAAAUUCAAAGUUAUGGAGUUUAAUUUCUGCCAUUUAGUAUUAAUUAAUUUUUAAGUCUGCAAACAUUGGUAAUACUGAGAAAGCUACAUCUCCCAAUCUGACAGUUAUACGCAUGUCAAAUGAGAAUGUAUAUACAACGCCUGAUCAGUGCCCACUUGCAAUUUAGUUGUAUUUCAUGUACUUGCUCAUAAUUUAUUUUGAUCCUUAUUUUGAUUUGGAGGUUUAAGAAAGGGGGAGUUCGUAGGAAGUUGCACAUUUUAUUGUUGAGAUUAUAAUGUUCAGUGGUUGAGAUUAUGAGAUUAUUUUUUCAGGUGGACAAAUUUCAUGUUCAGUGGUUGCUUAAUUUUCUUUUAGUGUUGGAUGCAUUUCCGUGAAAUUUUUUCUGACUUUCCUUAUAUAUUCUUUGAUUUCUUAGUUUAUGGGUCAACCUCUUGAACUUGCUUUUUGGUGUUCUGGUUUUUGAACUAAAGAAGUUAGCUGAAUUGGGCAAGAGUUUAAGGGAAGACUAUCAAGAGCUUUCAAUAGGUAGGUUUCUGUGUAUAGACAUGUUGUCUUAGAAAAUGAAUUGCCCUAUUAUGAACAAUGCUGAUAAUUUUUUUGUUGCCCACUGGCGUGUCGGAUUUUAGGUCUUUGCUAAUUCAAUUAAUCUGCUGUCCUAUGUCUUGGAUAUUCAUUCAGUACAUGUAAUUAUGUUUUCACUUGGCUUUAGGAUGUCAAAUUUCACUAUAUUUAUUGAUAAUCAACAGGCAGAGUACCGAGAAAAAAGGCAGACUUAAUCAUGCCAGAAGAUAUACCUUGACCAUUUUGAAGGUACAGCAUAUGAUAUGUUAUCUUUUCUUUGCUGAUAUUGUGCAUCAUAUUGGAUUUAACUUUAUUGUGCAUCAUAUUGGAUGUAAGUUUUGAUUCUUUAUGUCUUAAAAAUAUGUAUCUUUCGGUGGCAUGUGAGGAAAAAGGAAAGGUAAAUAAGAAAAAACUAAUUUUUCUGUUAUCCUUUUAGACUUUAUACCUGAAUUUUUCCGUAGGUUGAAUAUUUAACCCCUUUAUUCUAAGGUAUCUGAGCCAUUUGCAGGGUGGGGAAAUGUCUUUUUGGAUUUUAUCGGAUCGAUAUCAAUUAUGAAAUUCUUCUGCUGUCUGAGGAUUCUGAAAUUUGUUUCAGGUACAAUUAUUGUAAUAGUGAAUAAGGAAGCCUUCAAGCUACAAAGUUUACUGCUCUGUAAGCAUAACAUUUCUUUGCUGCACUUUACUAUACCAAUGAUGCAAUUUACAUGCAUAUGUUGCAUGUAUGCCUGUCAUAGCCUACAUGAUGGAACAGCUACACAUCAAAUGAAGCUGACGGGUAUGUGCUCAUUGCAAUUAGGACAUUGAUUUUUGUGUAUAAGACCACAUUAGUUGCAAGGACUAUUUCUCAUUCCUUUUUUUCAUUUAAUUGUUAAUAGUCUCGAAAACGAACCAAAUAGGCAAAUAUUACUGCAUGUGGAUGUUGUGUAGCAAAGUAAACAUUACAGCAACUGCCUCAGGUGAACAUAACUUCACCUGUCUAAUUUCUGUUCCUAUCCAUGACUACCACCGACUGCCUUUUAAGCUUGCUAAGUCAACAAUUUGAAAUAAUGAUAACUGACAUGGGGGUCAUAUGAUGAAAGGGCCUAUGAGUUUAGUCCCCUUCAAACUCCAAUUCCUUUACUUUCCUUUACCUUCAGUUUGUUGUGUGCUGUGAAUUUUGAGGUCAAGAAAUCGCUUUGCUUUCAACAAAUUUGCUGUUAAGUUUUACUUCUUCAAAUACUUUUUUUUUAGGAAGUAAAAUGAAGCUUCUCAUAUCUUUUUUGGUGAGUAGUAGUUUAAAAAUGAUGUUUCUCAUACAUGCAUAGCUUCUCAUCCAUGCAUAUCAGACUUUGCUAAAAGUAGUAGUCUACAUGUUAUAUGGUUGUCUGGUCUGUAUGCAUAUUAUUUAAUACUUGGAGAUCGGAUUAGAGACUAGCUCUUGCAAGACAAUAGUUGUGUUGCAUUCUUUUUUUGAAAUAUCUAUUAAAGUUGAUAUAUGAUUCUCUUUUUUUAAUUAUGUCAGUUUCUAAGGCAUAACUGAGCGAUGCUGAAGCAUAUUUCCGUCAUGCAAAAACAAAGGUAUGCUGCUACUCUAUUGAUAUAAGUUGUUGUUUGUCACUCUAUCUAAAUGUACUGAGGCAUAGUAUGAUGUUUUCAGAUAAUGAUGAAAAGGGUUGGAUGCAUUAAACCAGAGCCAUGGAAAUGAUUUGAAUGGAUCCCUGCAAGUAUGCUAUCAAGUAUUUGAAUGGUUUGGUUGGAUUCUGUGUUUGAUGCUGGAUAUUUUCCUGGUUUUGUAGAUCGUGGUCAAGGUUUGUUGAUCAGGUUAGGCGACCCUUUUUGGUUUAAUGAAGGAUGUUUUUUAAAAAGAAAAAUUUAAUGGUAGUUUGGAUUUACAAUUCAAGACCCAUGCAAUUGUGUUUCUUCUCAGGUUUACAAUUCAAGACCCAUGAGCUUUUCAAGAAAUCAGUCACAAGGUAUCUUCAAGGAUUAGUAAUGUUUAAGCCAUUUUGAAUCAUGAUAUUGCACUUCAGUUUUUUAUUUGUAGUGAAAUUUGUGGAUGCCUCUUUUCUCUGUUAUUUGAAAUUAUAUGAAUUGGUUGGAUCAAUGGUCAUAUCACAGUUGUGCCAUUCAUAUACUGAUACUUACAAGUGACAUCGAACUCAUGAUUUGUAUUAUGCUCAGGUAGUCUGACCUUCAUGAACUAAAUAUGCACAAAUUGAAUUGACAGUAAAUUGAGUGUAAUGAAAAUUUUGCAUAGGAUGAUUUUGCACGCUCUGGGCAUCUUUUUAAAUGACAAAUAUUACAGCUGCUUUUGUAUUUCUUGCUGACUUUUGAUCGAGCACUUACUAAUUGAAAUGACAUAGUAUUGAACCAAUCAAAACAACUAUUUGAAGGAAAAAAGAUAACUUAAGGGAUGUGACUCAGGCUUAGUUUCAAUUCCUUCAGUCCCUUUAUAUAUGAGGUUGUUUUUGAAAAAUAGGGAUAGACUAAUAAAUGACAGUCAAAUCCCAGACAUGCAAAGGCAUCAUGAUCAUGAGCUAAGCGCCUGAGCUUUAAGUUUAUAUUUAUAACAUGGGAGAGUAUAACAUAUAGGCCUUUUGGCAUGAAGAUUUCUUUAUUAAUGUUAACUUUGGUUUCAUUCUUCAACAGGUCACUAGAGUGUACAAGGAAAAAGAGCAUGCUGAGAUUGAACUUACUGUGAGUUUACUGCUCUGAAUAAUGUAUAUCUGAUCAUGAAAAUGCACCUCCAUGAAAAAGUACUUAGGGUUAAUUCAUUGAAGACUAUAUUUGGUUUUUGUUGGUCAGGGCAUACCGUCUAAAAAAGAAACAAACAUCAUAUAUCUAAUUGAAUCAGGUAUUAAUAAAAUUUUUCUUUCCGAUAACAAAAGGAAAAAGAACUGAAGCAUGGACGGUAAAGGUUGAAACAACAUUCGUUAAGGGAAUUUAAUGCACCCCCAAUAAAACUAAAGCCAGUUGGAGAAUUUUUAAGCAAGAUUCAGGUUUAUGGGCUUCCAUUUAUUCUGAAAAAUAUCUUAAUGAUUGCUCUAUUAUUGAUCAAAAUUACAUUGCUCCUGCUGAUUGUUCUUCUACUUGGAGGAGUAUAGCUUAUGGUGCUAAAUUGAUGAGAAGUAAUUUAUCUUGGCGCAUUGGUGAUGGCAAGAUGGUCAAAUUCUGGUCUGAUACUUGGGUUUUGUCUGUGCCUCUUCUUCAGUUUGCUUUACCUCAUGCUGUCAUUAACUUGAGCUCUACUGUUUGUGAUUUUUGGUGUGAUACUGGGUGGAAUAUUGAAAUGCUUUCUGAUGUAGUUCCUCCUGAAGUUGUUAAUCAAAUUAUCAGCUUCCCUACUGGUUUUGAAGAUAGUGGUAAUGAUCAACUAAUUUGGAAGGCUACUUCUAAUGGAGUCUUUUCUGUCAAGUCUGCUUAUAUCUCUUCGUUUGAUAUGGCUGAGCCUCAACAUCAUUAUUGGAAAGUUGUUUGGAAGCUCAACUGCCUUCCUAAGUUAAAGACCUUUUUCUGGACUGUGCUUCACAAAAAAAUCCUUACUAAUGUUCAGAGAGUUAGAAGAAGAUUUACUACCUCUGCAGUUUGUCCCAUUUGCAACUCUGCUGAUGAGAGCUUACAUUCAGAGACUGUUACAGGUCUAAAGAGGUUUGGAAAUCUAUUUGCCCCUCUUCUCAUAUUUCUAACUCGUUUAUCUUGGGCUGGGAUAAUCUGGAUUUCUGCUCAAUUGUUUUGUCAAUCCAAGGUCAAGAAUGGUAUCAAAUGGUGCAACCUCUUUGUCUUUGUGUGCUGGUUCUUAUGGAAAUGGAGAAAUAAAAUUGUCUUUGAUUCUAGUUUUGUUAUGCCUGGAGAUCCUGCUUUAGUCAUUUGGAACUAUGUUGAGGAAUGGACUAGUGCUCAGUCUAAUCCAAGCAGUAGCAAUAUGUUCAAUGUCACUUAUCUUUCUUGGUUAAGACCUCCUGCAAAUUGUUUGAAGUUGAACAUUGAUGGUACUAGAAGUUCCUCUUCUGGAAAAAUUGGGGCUGGUGGGGUGCUGAGAGAUCAUGCUGGUAAUUGGAUCUUUGGUUGUCAGAUUAAUUUGGGGGUUGGUGAGGUUUUAUAUGCUGAAGCUUGGGGUUUGCUUUUUGGCCUGAAGCUGGUUGCUAAAUUUUAUUGUUCUGAUCUGGAGGUUGAGUCUGACUCUGCAGUUUUAGUGCAGCUUAUGCAGAAGAGGAGCUUUGAGUUGCACCCUCUUGGGUCUCUUCUCUCUGCUUGUUCUUCUUUUAUGUCCAAAAUGCCGAAUGUUAAGCUCUCUCAUAUUUUCAGAGAAUGCAAUAUGGUGGCUGACUCCCUUGCUAAAUGCAGCAUCACUCAUGAUCUUGGUCUUGUCACUUUCAACAGCCCUCCUGUGCAUGCUGUCCAGGCCUACCUUGAUGAUCUUGAUGGUGUAGUUAGAGCUAGAAGGACUGGAGUCUGUUCCAGUUCUUAGUCUUUUCUGUUUUUGUGUUUGGGUCUUUUAGGCCCCUCUUGUAAACAAAAAAAAAAAAGGGUUGAAACAACAUUCGUUAAGGGAAUUUAAUGCACCCCCAAUAAAACUGAAGCAUAAGAUGCAUUGUGUUCUCACUCUAAACAUAUAAAAAAUGACAAUUUCACUAAAGAAGAAGAAAUUUCAGAAAGAAAGAUUAAAACGGUAGCCAACAAUUUUUCUCAAACUCAACAAUUUUUCACAACUUUAUUUUGUUAUAAGAGAAUUAGAUUUAUUGUUUAUUUGUGAUUUUGAUGGUAGUUUUCCUUUAUUUUCAGUUCCUGCUUGAAAACAAAGAACUUGGUUCUGCUGUUUCUGUAGAUUUCUUGAAGUUUUGAACAAGCUGAGGUUCAUAGUUAUGUGCUACUUCUGCAUUCAAGAAGCUUAUUCAUUAAGGUACUACACUAUCUCUUAUUGCUCUUUAAAAAGCCUUCAUUAUCCUCUCAAUUAUCCAAAAGUGUAUCCAAUAACCUGUGUCCAUUGGUUUUGACUUGGUUGUAUCUAUAAUUUAAACUAUGUUUCUUGCAAAGCAUACUAUUAGAUCUUUUGUAUUGCAUCUGUAUCUAACACAAAUCAUGUAUAUUCAGGAUACAGAUGCGUCAUUUGUCUCAACAGCUCAACUUUAUACUACAUAUACAUAGUCAACGAUGUACUACAUUAAUAUACUCAUCUUCGUAGAACAAUGAGCUUAAUCAAAUAUCUGAACUGAUUCUAUAUUACUAGAACAAUUAGCUUAAUCAAAUCUCUGAACUGAUUCUUACUGAGAUGAAAGAAAAAAUUGAAAGCAUUUGUAUUCUUCUGGUGUACAGAGGUUAUAUCCAUAUAUACGAAAUCUAUGCUCUCAUGGCCAGAAAAAGAGCAGUAUAGUUGUUACAGCUGUAAGUUUGUAUUGUGAAUAUACGUUGUGAAAAGUUAAUAAAUUUAAGCAGUAUCUUUACUGAAGUAGCACAGUUUUCUAUUUUGUUUUCAUGUGUUGCUCACUCUAAAUGUGAUACAUAUUCGAGAAACGAGUUAGAGUUUGUGCUUUUCUACAAGCCGUGUCCCAGUUCCUAAACUCCUUAAUGAAAGAACUCCAUAUACAUACACACAUAUGGAUAUAUAUCUACCAUCACAGUAGCUCGCUAAAGGAACUCAGGAAAUAUGUAUAGCAUUGUUGAACUUCUUAGUUUCAAUAAUGCUGAUUGCUGGAUUUGGUUGUUUGAUGAUUAGGAUGUUCCACGUAUGUACUUUUAAAACAUGCUCAUGCUAAUUUUGAUGUAAGGCUAAUGUCGUCACAUUUUUGGGCUUUUAUAUAGUAGAAAAGCUAGCUUUGUGAUUCAUCUGUUAUUCAUUGCUGUUUAGUUCUUAAGAAGUAGUAAAUUGGUUUUACUUUUGAUAUUGAUUGAGAUUUUAUUGAUUUGUAGCCAAUGACAGAAAUGAGUGUAGAGGCACCUUCUCAGCUUAAAAAGGCUGAGGGCUGUGUGGUAAGUGAUUCUGAACUUAUGCAUUACCAAUUGUAUAGCUCAAUUGGCUUACAAGUUUGAGUUGCAAAUAGAAUGUCGGAAGUUUGAGUUUGGUCUUUUCUGAUUUAUUAAUGUGAUGAACUGCGAUUAAUGAUCUCUUAUGCUAAAUUAUCUUCUGGUGAUUGUGCAGUCGGGAGUAGUUGAGGUUCACGAUGUAUGUUAAAGAAACAUAUCGGCUUGCUGUUGUUACAGUUGUAGUUAGCCAAAUGGUAUGCAAAUUGUAUAUAUUGCCUCUGAUUGCUGUGGCUAGGUCUGCUGACUGUUGUUGAAUAUUUUUGGCAUAUAUGAAUGUUUCCAGGUGCUUUUUCACUCUACAGAAGUUCAAGGGAAGUGCACUUCACAUCCGUUCAAAUUUAGUGGCUCAGAUUUGAAGGAUUUAUGUUUCAUGGAAAUUAUGUGACAUGUCUGAUAUUGACUAAAAUUUCACUAACUGGUUUCUCUUUAAAAUUAAUUCAGUAGGAUGAUGAUGAAUAUGCUUUGGGGGAAGAAAAUGAAACUCCUUAUGAAUGAUAUAAUGCCAAGUUGAUAAGUUAAUCAAUGAUCAGCUGAUCAAACUCUUAAUUCAAUUCAGAAUUCAGAUCUUCAUGCAAAUGCUUUUGAUUUUACAAAUGCUAUU
Molecule: long non-coding RNA, 7681 nt
Filed under: Fragaria vesca (wild strawberry)
Lineage: Eukaryota; Viridiplantae; Streptophyta; Magnoliopsida; Rosales; Rosaceae
Description: long non-coding RNA (FVES_LNC002451)
Source: RNAcentral